AUUGAACGCUGGCGGCAGGCCUAACACAUGCAAGUCGAGCGGAUGAAGGGAGCUUGCUCCUGGAUUCAGCGGCGGACGGGUGAGUAAUGCCUAGGAAUCUGCCUGGUAGUGGGGGAUAACGUCCGGAAACGGGCGCUAAUACCGCAUACGUCCUGAGGGAGAAAGUGGGGGAUCUUCGGACCUCACGCUAUCAGAUGAGCCUAGGUCGGAUUAGCUAGUUGGUGGGGUAAAGGCCUACCAAGGCGACGAUCCGUAACUGGUCUGAGAGGAUGAUCAGUCACACUGGAACUGAGACACGGUCCAGACUCCUACGGGAGGCAGCAGUGGGGAAUAUUGGACAAUGGGCGAAAGCCUGAUCCAGCCAUGCCGCGUGUGUGAAGAAGGUCUUCGGAUUGUAAAGCACUUUAAGUUGGGAGGAAGGGCAGUAAGUUAAUACCUUGCUGUUUUGACGUUACCAACAGAAUAAGCACCGGCUAACUUCGUGCCAGCAGCCGCGGUAAUACGAAGGGUGCAAGCGUUAAUCGGAAUUACUGGGCGUAAAGCGCGCGUAGGUGGUUCAGCAAGUUGGAUGUGAAAUCCCCGGGCUCAACCUGGGAACUGCAUCCAAAACUACUGAGCUAGAGUACGGUAGAGGGUGGUGGAAUUUCCUGUGUAGCGGUGAAAUGCGUAGAUAUAGGAAGGAACACCAGUGGCGAAGGCGACCACCUGGACUGAUACUGACACUGAGGUGCGAAAGCGUGGGGAGCGAACAGG
RNAcentral lists this ribosomal RNA (753 nucleotides) under uncultured Pseudomonas sp. RNAcentral's name for it is "bacterial SSU rRNA". It matches the Rfam family "Bacterial small subunit ribosomal RNA", at positions 28 to 776 of the family's 1533-position model. The record is from RNAcentral. Lineage: Bacteria; Pseudomonadati; Pseudomonadota; Gammaproteobacteria; Pseudomonadales; Pseudomonadaceae.